AAAUUGAAGAGUUUGAUCAUGGCUCAGGUUGAACGCUGGCGGCAGGCCUAACACAUGCAAGUCGAACGGUAACAGGAAGCAGCUUGCUGCUU
This 92-nucleotide ribosomal RNA is filed under the name Escherichia coli. RNAcentral's name for it is "partial 16S ribosomal RNA". It matches the Rfam family "Bacterial small subunit ribosomal RNA", at positions 1 to 88 of the family's 1533-position model. Lineage: Bacteria; Pseudomonadati; Pseudomonadota; Gammaproteobacteria; Enterobacterales; Enterobacteriaceae. The record is from RNAcentral.